AGUUGAGUCUUAAAGGUGAUGUUGUUAUUGGGAAUAGUAUCCCAAAGUCAAUCGUCAGCCUGUUGACGGUUGUGCUCUUUCUUGUAUUAGUAUAUGAAUUAUAAAUAAAUAAAAGUUAUUUUGAUAUUUUUCAUCACAAAUUAUUUCAUCUUCUAAUGAACUCCUGUGUUGUGGUGAAGUCCUUAGGACUAUUUAGACUUGACAAAAGAGGAUUUAUCGUUUAGUCCUUAAACCUGUUCGCGACCAAAUGAUACGUUGUUAC
Molecule: long non-coding RNA, 262 nt
Filed under: Elaeis guineensis (African oil palm)
Lineage: Eukaryota; Viridiplantae; Streptophyta; Magnoliopsida; Arecales; Arecaceae
Description: long non-coding RNA (EGUI_LNC023801)
Source: RNAcentral